AAGAGACGCAGGUUUGAUCCCUGGGUCAGGAAGAUCCCCUGGGGAAGGGCAUUGCAACCCACUCCAGUAUUCUUGCCUGGAGAAUUCCCUGGACAGAGGAGCCUGGCAGGCUGUAGUGCAUAAGGUUGCACAGAGUCGGACACGACUGAAGCGACUUAGCAUGCAUGCACGACAUUGAGGUGUUCUUAGUUUUUAUCCCUAAACAAAGUUCCAAGUUCACUUUAAGAACCGUCUUUUAUCUUCUGGUUUCAUUUGCGGCCCCUGUGUGGCUCCACUGCCCGCUCUGCCAAAGGUCUGCUCCCAGCUUUACCGCUGCUCCUCUGACCCCAUCCCUCAGUCCCUAACGGAAAAUCUCAGCCCUUCUCUGAGGCAGUGACGAGGUGGAUAUGAUGUAGCUUGUUGGGAAAACCACAGAAUCUGUGCUCAGCUGAUCCUUUACCAGCCCCGACGCCGCCACGCAUCUCUGCGUCAAUCAACCACCCCAUACCUCCCAGGUUGCUGCCCCUGGGGAACAUCACUGGGUAACUCGCUCAUACCUCCCGCGAAGGGAUUUGUUAGACUCUGGAACACCAAAGAUGAAAGGCACAGGCAGGCCUGCCCUCAAGGAGCUUCAGCCACAGGAGGAAAGGGAACAAAACGUGAGAUUCAAGGGAAAGAAGAUCUAAUACCAGCAUUCCUUCCACGGACCCCAGCAGUAUCACUCUGAUCCCUAGAAUUAGUAUGAAUCAGUUGCUAAGAAAGCAGCCUAAUCUGUUUCCCAGGCCUACUGAGGAUGCAAAGCAUCAAAAGCAAAAGCCACACUCUGGAAAUGAAGCUGUUCCCAAGUGACGCGCAUCCAUUCACCAAGUUAAUGCUUAAUAAGAACGAUCUACAAAGGGUGACCGAAAGAUGAGGAGAGUGAAGACUGCCUCCAGUGAGCAUGAACGAGCGAAAUAAAUAAAUAGAUGCCAUGCUGAUCCCAAAAGAAGGAAGGUGCAGGAAGGGGAACUUGCACAGCAAUUCUGGGGAGCAGGAACCCUAGCCCACCUUCGUCCUCCGCAUCUCCCCUGGGGCUUCAGGAGACUUGUCACCACAGUUCACACCAGCUUCCUCCUGCCCCAGCUCUCCCACCGCAUCUCCAGUCUCUGAACCUGCAGAGCUGCUGAUGCUGCUGGGGCCUGACGUCGCCCUGCAGCUGGAGGCCGCCCUGGCUGACCCUCAGCUGCCCUGUCCCUGUCUCACUCCAGAGACGGGCCUCGGGGGCAAUCUUGUCUUUAACACGUGGCCUCCUCUGUUCCAGGGGUCACGGAAGACCGCCCAGAGCUCACCACGUCUCACGGAGAUUUUAAUGAAACAGCUCUUCUAUUUAUUUGUGUUGCUGCCUCCAAGGCCUGGGGCCAUGACAUCAGUCCCUGAGAGGGGAGGCCCGGGCUCAGGGGACAUCAGGCUUUCUGUCCAGUUGCUUAGGUUCUGACACUAACCCGGCUUUUCUGCUUCAGUCCUACACUCUUCCCUCUGUUUUUUUCUCGGGCGUGUCUGAAUCCUGGGGUGAAUACCGUUUACCUUGCACCCUGUGGCACUUGUUAAAAGUAAACAGGUUUUCCCUGAGCGUUGGCAGUUCCACCAGAAGGAGAACAAAGGUCAAUGCAGUCAUACGGAAUCUGAUUAACACCAAGCCGCAGAAACACACCCCUGGAUUAGAUGCUUUCCCAGCUGCCCCUGCCCUUUGGACAGAGGAGCCGUUCUAGCUGGUGUGCAGGCAGCAGCUAUGCUUAGCUCGCUGAGUGGGAAUGUGUUAAUCCACAUUUCAAGUUAGGUUUGCCUAUUGUUAUUUUUUAAUUAUAUGUACUUUAAGAGUGAUGUUAUCAUUUGAAUUUUAAAAAAUGUAUAGAAAAAAGUUUUAUUACAUUGGAGUAAAAGAAAAAAGAAAUUUUAAUCAGGUUUACAGAGGUAUAAUUUACAUUCAAUGAAUUCCACCCUCUUUAGUGGAC
This is a long non-coding RNA of Bos taurus (domestic cattle), 1970 nucleotides long. Lineage: Eukaryota; Metazoa; Chordata; Mammalia; Artiodactyla; Bovidae. The record is from Ensembl.